GCCCCGGUAAACGGCGGCCGUAACUAUAACGGUCCUAAGGUAGCGAAAUUCCUUGUCGGGUAAGUUCCGACCUGCACGAAUGGCGUAAUGAUGGCCAGGCUGUCUCCACCCGAGACUCAGUGAAAUUGAACUCGCUGUGAAGAUGCAGUGUACCCGCGGCAAGACGGAAAGACCCCGUGAACCUUUACUAUAGCUUGACACUGAACAUUGAGCCUUGAUGUGUAGGAUAGGUGGGAGGCUUUGAAGUGUGGACGCCAGUCUGCAUGGAGCCGACCUUGAAAUACCACCCUUUAAUGUUUGAUGUUCUAACGUUGGCCCGUAAUCCGGGUUGCGGACAGUGUCUGGUGGGUAGUUUGACUGGGGCGGUCUCCUCCUAAAGAGUAACGGAGGAGCAC
This 395-nucleotide ribosomal RNA is filed under the name Escherichia coli. RNAcentral's name for it is "partial 23S ribosomal RNA". It matches the Rfam family "Bacterial large subunit ribosomal RNA", at positions 1917 to 2311 of the family's 2925-position model. The record is from RNAcentral. Lineage: Bacteria; Pseudomonadati; Pseudomonadota; Gammaproteobacteria; Enterobacterales; Enterobacteriaceae.